GUAGGGGGCGAGCGUUGAUCGGAUUUACUGGGCGUAAAGCGCGCGCAGGCGGUUUAGUAAGCCAGAUGUGAAAGCCCCGGGCUUAACCUGGGAAUGGCAUUUGGGACUGCUAUGCUUGAGUGCGGCAGAGGAGACUGGAAUUCCUGGUGUAGAAGUGAAAUGCGUAGAUAUCGGGAGGAAUACCGAUGGCGAAGGCAGGUCUCUGGACUGACACUGACGCUCAUGCACGAAAGCGUGGGGAGCAAACAGGAUUAGAUACCCUGGUAGUCCACGCCCUAAACGAUGUCGACUGGUUGUUGGGGGUUUGACACUCUCAGUAACGAAGCUAACGCGUGAAGUCGACCGCCUGGGGAGUACGGCCGCAAGGUUA
This 370-nucleotide ribosomal RNA is filed under the name uncultured bacterium. Its description in RNAcentral is "bacterial SSU rRNA". It matches the Rfam family "Bacterial small subunit ribosomal RNA", at positions 527 to 896 of the family's 1533-position model. The record is from RNAcentral.